UGUGGUAGUUCAGUUGGUUAGAAUACCUGCCUGUCACGCAGGGGGUCGCGGGUUCGAGUCCCGUCCAU
This 68-nucleotide transfer RNA is filed under the name Dysgonomonas mossii. It matches the Rfam family "tRNA", at positions 5 to 66 of the family's 71-position model. Rfam says of the family: Transfer RNA (tRNA) molecules are approximately 80 nucleotides in length. RNAcentral also lists the same sequence under 3 other names. The record is from RNAcentral. Lineage: Bacteria; Pseudomonadati; Bacteroidota; Bacteroidia; Bacteroidales; Dysgonomonadaceae.